Molecule: non-coding RNA, 72 nt
Organism: Perkinsus olseni
Lineage: Eukaryota; Perkinsozoa; Perkinsida; Perkinsidae
Source: the annotation of a GenBank genome assembly
GAGUGUGCAGUUCAGUGGUAGAGAGGCUGACUGCAAAUCAGCAGAUCUUCAGUUCAAAUCCGGGCGCGCCCU